RNA transcript from Chroicocephalus ridibundus (black-headed gull), 2858 nucleotides. It is a transcript of the gene named FAST kinase domains 3, with no coding region annotated. Lineage: Eukaryota; Metazoa; Chordata; Aves; Charadriiformes; Laridae. The record is from RefSeq and is a predicted model, not a curated record. The transcript is spliced from 9 exons.
AGGGAAGGCAGCGGCUGCCAGCGGCCGAAGGUGCCCGCCGGGAGAGCGGCGGAAACUCCCGGCAGCCCCCGCGCUGCCCGUCAUGGCGGCGGAGGUAUCUUUUGAGAACCUGCUUGAUGCAGUAUGGCUUUGAUUAGCCGGAAAAGUUUCCAGUUUUAUUCAUCCAGCGCACCAGCAAGCAGGUCCAUUUUGAUGACCCUAAGCAAAAGGUUGAGCUUUAUCAGCGGGCAGCGAAAGCCCCAAAACUGUAGCUCUGUAGCCAUGAGGAUGCUCUAUUUCAAAGAUAAAUCUCAGUAUAUGUAUUGUAGGAAAAACCAUGUACAGCUGCGGGUACAGUCUCUUUCUGUUAAUGAAACUGUGCAUCUUUGUGGAGAUACUGGGAGCAGUACUAAAUCUAAUAACAUGUGGAUGGAUGAGCAACUGUUUUGCAAGAAGUUGAACAGCCUUUGUACAUCAAAAGAGAUUUUUGACUUUCUUAGCUCUCUAGAAGCCAUGUCUGAUACUAUGGCAUCAGGAGCCCUGCAGAGGAUUUCUGAAGUUGAGGUGGAUGACAAUGGUCUGAAAAACCCUGAAGGGGUGUUAGAGAAUGAAGUUUUCAGGGCAUUAUGCUUUCAAUUUGAAUUUGAAUCCUCAAAACUGUCAAACACUGGGCUGCUGAAUGCAUUGCAAGCUUUGAUAAAACUACGUAUAGAUCCCCAGAGUACGUUGAUGGCAAGCUUGCUUUCAGAGGGUAAGGAACGGCUUGGUAAAGGACAGUUGACUGUUAAAAAUCUGUGUGCUCUUGGAGAGAGUUUGCUUGAGUUGGAAGGCCCAAGUUGUGCAACACUGGGAGAAAUUGUGAACCACAUGCAAGAAAAAGACAUUGAGAAGUGGAGUCCUAGGGAAACGGUGAUGGUUUAUAAGAUGCUGCAGGUGACUGUCAGGGAAGGGGAACAAUACCAAGACUUGCUAAACAGACUGAACAGUGUCACUUUAAACAUAGUUUCCCAGCUAAGCCCAAAGUUCACAAGUAUAAUACUGAAUUCACUGGUUGUUCUUCACCAGACUCAAGCAGUUCCCUUAAUCACAGCACUGUGUAAACAUUCUGUGAAGCAUAUUCCAUAUUUCACAGGUGAUGAACUGGUAAAUGUACUGGAAGCCUUCCUAUACUUUGGACAUCGUGAAGAAAUUUUUACAGAGGCACUGGAAACACAUAUUCCCAAGUCCAUCUUUACCAUGCAUCCUCAAACAGUCAGCAAAGUCAUGCAGUAUUGCUGCCAAAAGAUGAUCCUUUCUAAGCCCAUCUUUGAUGCAGCAGCAGAAAAUUUCAUUUCUGAUGCUGACAGAUUUACCACCGACCAGAUUGCUGGGUACAUUAUACCAUUUGGGACUCUUAACUAUCUGCCUACAAGUGCUUCUUCCUUGUUUAGGAAGCUUGAAACCAUAUUGCAUGCUCGUUUUAGUCACUUUCAGCCUCGCACCUUGCUGAAACUGCUGCACUCGUGUGUCCUUAUUCAACGUUAUCCAGUAAAUUUUCUGCCAAAAAUAUUUAGUCCCUAUUUCCUGCAACAGCUUCAAGCUCAGCCACCUGGUUUGGACAGAAUUGUUACCUCCCAGCUAACCCAGCUUUUUCUGACUGUUACCCUUGAGUGCCCGUUUUAUGAGGGUCCCAAACUCCUUCCAAAGUAUCAAGUAAAAGCCUUUCUCAUGCCUCCCAGUUCUCUGGAUGUUCACCUCCUCAAAAGGGUGAAGACUGGAUUACUUUAUUUACUGAAAAAAAGGAUAUAUUUUGCAUCAGAGGUAUCAACACCAUAUUUCUAUACAGUUGAUAUUGAGAUUAAAUUAGAUGAAGAAGGUUUUGUAUUGCCUGCUGCCCAAUGUGAAGAGGUACACAGACGAGUUGCCCUCUGUGUUGAUGGUCAAAAUAGAUUUUGCAUUAACAGCCACAAUCUGUUGGGAGAAGAAGCUAUUAAACAGAGACAUCUUCAAUUACUUGGUUAUGAAGUUGUGCAGAUUCCGUUUUUUGAGAUAGAGAGUCUACAAAAUUGCAGAAAAAUGGCAGAAUAUCUACACAAAAAAAUCUUUCCUCAUACAUACGGACUUGGCUGCUGACGCAGGAGAAUAAUACUAAAUCACAGGAAACUCACUGUGUUCGCAAAUGAGACAGGUUUCCUAUGUGUAAGUACCUGACAGAACUCCAGUGUCAAAGCUGUGGACUUCCAGUCCUUGUUCUGCUAUUAUCAGUCCCGCUGUGGUCCCCCUCUGAACAAUGCUGCCUCAGCUUUAAGUAACAGCAGGAUCGAUGGCUCUCGAGAACCAAACUGAUGCAUAUCCUGCAGGAGCUUUGGUUACAGAACCAGAGAUGUUUUUUCUUGUGACACUCUUGAACAGAUCAGUCCCUCAGACGCUAUUUGUAUCGUGAAAGCCAGCAAAAUGGAUGUCUGAAACCAGUUAAGCUGAGAUUUUGUCUGUUGAAAUGCUGAGUGCUCAGAACUUCCCGUUAACUUGACUUUCAUUUGAAGUCUACUGAAACUGCUAAGCACUUCUCUGAGUCGGCUCAUUUCUUUACUUGCUCCUUUAUGGGUAAGGCCAUCCCAUUUUGGAAAAUCUGGGAUGAAUCCCCGUUUCAGCUGUUGUGCAAAUAAAAUGACACCUUGCAAUUCUGUAGCAACACUGUACGAACUAAGAAGUCGGUGACCACUGAUAACCUUGAGGAGCAAGCUUGCUUAAACGUUAAGUCUGCGAAUAGUUAUGCAGAAGCACUGCCUAAAAUUGCAGAGAGACAGCUGUUGACCCAACAGGUCUCGCUUCCAGUGUUGCUGCUUAAAAUCAUAGAAUGAUUGAUGCUGCUUUUCAUGAGAUUUUUGUGAGACUGUAAG